RNAcentral lists this ribosomal RNA (738 nucleotides) under uncultured bacterium. Its description in RNAcentral is "bacterial SSU rRNA". It matches the Rfam family "Bacterial small subunit ribosomal RNA", at positions 56 to 792 of the family's 1533-position model. The record is from RNAcentral.
UGCAGUCGAACGAGAUUUUAUCUUUCGGGAUAAAUGACAGUGGCGCACGGGUGCGUAACGCUUUAUGCAACCUACCCUUAACUGGGGGAUAGCCCGGAGAAAUUCGGAUUAAUACCCCAUAGUAUCACCAGAUGGCAUCUGAAGGUGAUUAAAGAUUUAUUGGUUAAGGAUGGGCAUGCGUGACAUUAGCUAGUUGGUGAGGUAACGGCUCACCAAGGCAACGAUGUCUAGGGGUUCUGAGAGGAUGAUCCCCCACACUGGUACUGAGAUACGGACCAGACUCCUACGGGGGGCAGCAGUAGGGAAUAUUGGUCAAUGGGCGAGAGCCUGAACCAGCCAUGCCGCGUGUAGGAAGACGGCCUUCUGGGUUGUAAACUACUUUUAUACAGGAACAAAAAGGCCAUGCGUGGCAAACUGAGUGUACUGUACGAAUAAGCACCGGCUAACUCCGUGCCAGCAGCCGCGGUAAUACGGAGGGUGCAAGCGUUGUCCGGAUUUAUUGGGUUUAAAGGGUGCGUAGGUGGUCAAUUAAGUCAGUGGUGAAAGCUCAUAGCUCUACUAUGGAACUGCUAUUGAUACUGGUUGACUUGAGUACAGAUGAGGUAGGCGGAAUUUAUGGUGUAGCGGUGAAAUGCAUAUAUACCAUAAAGAACACUGAUAGCGAAGGCAGCUUACUAAACUGUUACUGACACUGAGGCACGAAAGCGUGUGGAGCGAACAGGAUUAGAUACCCUGGUA